RNAcentral lists this transfer RNA (73 nucleotides) under Acidimicrobiia bacterium. RNAcentral's name for it is "tRNA-Glu". It matches the Rfam family "tRNA". Rfam says of the family: Transfer RNA (tRNA) molecules are approximately 80 nucleotides in length. Their secondary structure includes four short double-helical elements and three loops (D, anti-codon, and T loops). RNAcentral also lists the same sequence under 2 other names. The record is from RNAcentral. Lineage: Bacteria; Bacillati; Actinomycetota; Acidimicrobiia.
GCCCCCAUCGUCCAGCGGCCUCGGACGCCGGCCUUUCAAGCCGGAAACACGGGUUCGAAUCCCGUUGGGGGCA